Non-coding RNA from Trichuris muris, 46 nucleotides. The record is from Rfam. NCBI's taxonomy places the organism in Eukaryota, Metazoa, Nematoda, Enoplea, Trichinellida, Trichuridae.
CCUAAGGCCUUAUUAAAGGCCAUCCAACUACCUUCAAAAUUUUCAU